AGUUUGAUUCUGGCUCAGAUUGAACGCUGGCGGGAUGCUUUACACAUGCAAGUCGAACGGCAGCACGGACUUCGGUCUGGUGGCGAGUGGCGAACGGGUGAGUAAUGUAUCGGAACGUGCCUAGUAGCGGGGGAUAACUACGCGAAAGCGUAGCCAAUACCGCAUACGCCCUUCGGGAAAGCGGGGGACCCUUCGGGCCUUCGCACUAUUAGAGCGGCUGAUAUCGGAUUAGCUGGUUGGUGGGGUAACGGCUCACCAAGGCGACGAUCCGUAGCUGGUUUGAGAGGAUGACCAGCCACACUGGGACUGAGACAUGCCCAGACUCCUACGGGAGGCAGCAGUGGGGAAUUUUGACAAUGGGGAAACCCUGAUCCAGCCAUCCCGCGUGUGCGAUGAAGGCCUUCGGGUUGUAAAGCACUUUUGGCAGGAAAGAAACGGCACGGGAUAAUACCCCGUGCAACUGACGGUACCUUAUCAGCACCGGCUAACUUACCGUGCCAGCAGCCGCGGUAAUACGUAGGGGUGCAAGCGUUAAUCGGAAUUACUGGGCGUAAGCGUGCGCAGGCGGUUCGGAAAGAAAGAUGUGAAAUCCCAGAGCUUAACUUUGGAACUGCAUUUUUAACUACCGAGCUAGAGUGUGUCAGAGGGAGGUGGAAUUCCGCGUAGCAGUGAAUGCGUAGAUAUGCGGAUAACGCCACCUGAUGGCGAAGGCAGCCUGGGAUAACACUGACGCUCAUGCACGAAAGCGUGGGGAGCAAACAGAUUAGAUACCCUGGUAGUCCACGCCCUAAACGAUGUCAACUAGCUGUUGGGGCCUUCGGGCCUUGGUAGCGGCAGCUAACGCGUGAAGUUGACCGCCUGGGGAGUACGGUCGCAAGAUUAAACUCAAAGGAAUUGACGGGGACCCGCACAAGCGGUGGAUGAUGUGGAUUAAUUCGAUGCAACGCGAAAAACCUUACCUACCCUUGACAUGUCUGGAAUCCCGAAGAGAUUUGGGAGUGUCUGCAAGAGAACCGGAACACAGGUGCUGCAUGGCUGUCGUCAGCUCGUGUCGUGAGAUGUUGGGUUAAGUCCCGCAACGAGCGCAACCCUUGUCAUUAGUUGCUACGAAAGGGCACUCUAUCGACUGCCGGUGACAAACCGAGGAAGGUGGGGAUGACGUCAAGUCCUCAUGGCCCUUAUGGGUAGGGCUUCACAUGUCAUACAAUGGUCGGGACAGAGGGUCGCCAACCCGCGAGGGGGAGCCAAUCCCAGAAACCCGAUCGUAGUCCGGAUCGCAGUCUGCAACUCGACUGCGUGAAGUCGGAAUCGCUAGUAAUCGCGGAUCAGCAUGUCGCGGUGAAUACGUUCCCAGGUCUUGGUACACACCGCCCGUCACACCAUGGGAGUGGGUUUUACCAGAAGUAGUUAGCCUAACCGUAAGGAGGGCGAUUACCACGGUAGGAUUCAUGACUGGGGUGAAGUCGUAACGUUGCAG
Molecule: ribosomal RNA, 1477 nt
Filed under: uncultured Bordetella sp.
Lineage: Bacteria; Pseudomonadati; Pseudomonadota; Betaproteobacteria; Burkholderiales; Alcaligenaceae
Description: partial 16S-23S ribosomal RNA intergenic spacer
Rfam family: Bacterial small subunit ribosomal RNA
Source: RNAcentral